GAUGAACGCUGGCGGCGUGCCUAAUACAUGCAAGUCGAGCGAACGGACGAGAAGCUUGCUUCUCUGAUGUUAGCGGCGGACGGGUGAGUAACACGUGGAUAACCUACCUAUAAGACUGGGAUAACUUCGGGAAACCGGAGCUAAUACCGGAUAAUAUUUUGAACCGCAUGGUUCAAAAGUGAAAGACGGUCUUGCUGUCACUUAUAGAUGGAUCCGCGCUGCAUUAGCUAGUUGGUAAGGUAACGGCUUACCAAGGCAACGAUGCAUAGCCGACCUGAGAGAGUGAUAGGCCACACUAGAACUGAGACACGGUCCAGACUCCUACGGGAGGCAGCAGUAGGGAAUCUUACGCAAUGGGCGAAAGCCUGACGGAGCAACGCCGCGUGAGUGAUGAAGGUCUUCGGAUCGUAAAACUCUGUUAUGAGGGAAGAACAUAUGUGUAAGUAACUGUGCACAUCUUGACGGUACCUAAUCAGAAAGCCACGGCUAACUACGUG
Molecule: ribosomal RNA, 497 nt
Filed under: uncultured bacterium
Lineage: Bacteria
Description: partial 16S ribosomal RNA
Rfam family: Bacterial small subunit ribosomal RNA
Source: RNAcentral